Molecule: transfer RNA, 73 nt
Filed under: Ictidomys tridecemlineatus (thirteen-lined ground squirrel)
Lineage: Eukaryota; Metazoa; Chordata; Mammalia; Rodentia; Sciuridae
Description: Spermophilus tridecemlineatus (thirteen-lined ground squirrel) tRNA
Rfam family: tRNA
About the family: Transfer RNA (tRNA) molecules are approximately 80 nucleotides in length. Their secondary structure includes four short double-helical elements and three loops (D, anti-codon, and T loops).
Source: Rfam by way of RNAcentral
GGGGCUGUAGCUCAGUGGUAGGUAGAGUGCCUGCCUAGCACGCAUGAGGCACUGGGUUCGAUCCUCAGCACCA